This 225-nucleotide ribosomal RNA is filed under the name uncultured bacterium. Its description in RNAcentral is "partial 16S ribosomal RNA". It matches the Rfam family "Bacterial small subunit ribosomal RNA", at positions 524 to 749 of the family's 1533-position model. The record is from RNAcentral.
UACGUAGGGGGCAAGCGUUGUCCGGAAUUAUUGGGCGUAAAGCGCGCGCAGGCGGUCAUUUAAGUCUGGUGUUUAAGCCCGGGGCUCAACCCCGGUUCGCAUCGGAAACUGGAUGACUUGAGUGUAGGAGAGGAAAGUGGAAUUCCACGUGUAGCGGUGAAAUGCGUAGAGAUGUGGAGGAACACCAGUGGCGAAGGCGACUUCUGGUCCUAUAACUGACGCUGA